This 442-nucleotide ribosomal RNA is filed under the name uncultured bacterium. RNAcentral's name for it is "partial 16S ribosomal RNA". It matches the Rfam family "Bacterial small subunit ribosomal RNA", at positions 338 to 795 of the family's 1533-position model. The record is from RNAcentral.
CCUACGGGAGGCAGCAGUGGGGAAUAUUGGGCAAUGGACGCAAGUCUGACCCAGCAACGCCGCGUGAAGGAAGAAGGCUUUCGGGUUGUAAACUUCUUUUAAGGGGGAAGAGCAGAAGACGGUACCCCUUGCAUAAGCCACGGCUAACUACGUGCCAGCAGCCGCGGUCAUACGUAGGUGGCAAGCGUUGUCCGGAUUUACUGGGUGGAAAGGGCGUGCAGCCGGAGAGACAAGUCAGAUGUGAAAUCCACGGGCUCAAACCGGGAACUGCAGGUGAAACUGUUUCCCUUGAGUGUCGGAGAGGUAAUCGGAAUGCCUUGUGUAGCGGUGAAAUGCGUAGAUAUAAGGAAGAACACCAGUGGCGAAGGCGGAUUACUGGACGAUAACUGACGGUGAGGCGCGAAAGCGUGGGGAGCAAACAGGAUUAGAUACCCGGGUAGUC